This 253-nucleotide ribosomal RNA is filed under the name uncultured bacterium. RNAcentral's name for it is "partial 16S ribosomal RNA". It matches the Rfam family "Bacterial small subunit ribosomal RNA", at positions 524 to 776 of the family's 1533-position model. The record is from RNAcentral.
UACAGAGGGGGCAAGCGUUGUUCGGAAUUACUGGGCGUAAAGGGCGCGUAGGCGGCCUGUUAAGUCGAACGUGAAAUCCCCGGGCUCAACUCGGGAACUGCGUCCGAUACUGACAGGCUUGAAUCCGGGAGAGGGAUGCGGAAUUCCAGGUGUAGCGGUGAAAUGCGUAGAUAUCUGGAGGAACACCGGUGGCGAAGGCGGCAUCCUGGACCGGCAUUGACGCUGAGGCGCGAAAGCGUGGGGAGCAAACAGG